AAGUCGUAACAAGGUCUCCGUAGGUGAACCUGCGGAGGGAUCAUUACACACGUAUCCCAAAUACGUUUCAAACCAAACCGUGCUCUUUACAUUUUUCCCUGCAUUGUUUCAGUGAUUAUGUGACAUAAAAGGUGGAUUGAUGUAUACCUUUUGGGUGUAUGUCAAUGCACGUAAUCUUUAACUGUUACUUUGCAGUAGUAAUUUUUUAGCCACCUGGCUACUUGUGCCAACCCGGUUCCGACCCGGAGCCUUGUAGCCUUAUUGCUCCCAUUUUUUUACCCCUUUCUUUUUUUAAUGAACUGAAACAUGUUGUGUUGAUACCCUCUGUGGUAUAGGCACACGUAUACGAAAUAAAAGAGAACAACUCUUAGCAAUGGAUAUCUUGGUUCUC
Molecule: unclassified non-coding RNA, 391 nt
Filed under: fungal sp.
Lineage: Eukaryota; Fungi
Description: partial internal transcribed spacer region
Rfam family: Eukaryotic small subunit ribosomal RNA (bases 1-46)
Source: RNAcentral